AUACGGAGGAUGCAAGCGUUACUCGGAAUCACUGGGCGUAAAGCGCGCGCAGGCGGCUAUUUAAGUUGGAUGUGAAAGCCUACGGCUCAACCGUAGAACUGCAUCCAAAACUAUUUAGCUAGAGUGUGGGAGAGGAAGAUGGAAUUAGUUGUGUAGGGGUAAAAUCCGUAGAGAUAACUAGGAAUACCAAAAGCGAAGGCAAUCUUCUGGAACACUACUGACGCUGAGGCGCGAAAGCGUGGGGAGCAAACAGGAUUAGAAACCCUAGUAGUCC
Molecule: ribosomal RNA, 274 nt
Filed under: uncultured bacterium
Lineage: Bacteria
Description: partial 16S ribosomal RNA
Rfam family: Bacterial small subunit ribosomal RNA
Source: RNAcentral